GUCUACAGCCAUUCUACCCUGAACAAGCUCAAUCCCGUCUGAUCUCGGAAGCUAAGCAGGGUCGGGCCUGGUUAGUACUUAGAUGGGAGACCGCCUAGGAAGACCAGGUGCUGUAGGCA
This 119-nucleotide ribosomal RNA is filed under the name Pteropus alecto (black flying fox). The record is from RNAcentral. Lineage: Eukaryota; Metazoa; Chordata; Mammalia; Chiroptera; Pteropodidae.